RNAcentral lists this ribosomal RNA (626 nucleotides) under dothideomycete sp. 7645. Its description in RNAcentral is "eukaryotic LSU rRNA". The stretch from base 246 to 399 matches the Rfam family "5.8S ribosomal RNA". Lineage: Eukaryota; Fungi; Ascomycota; Dothideomycetes. The record is from RNAcentral.
UUGGUCAUUUAGAGGAAGUAAAAGUCGUAACAAGGUCUCCGUAGGUGAACCUGCGGAGGGAUCAUUACACAAUAAACAUAUGAAGGCUGCACCGCCAACASGYGGCAAGGCUGGAGUAUUUUAUUACCCUUGUCUUUUGCGCACUUGUUGUUUCCUGGGCGGGUUCGCCCGCCUCCAGGACCACAUGAUAAACCUUUUUUAUGCAGUUGCAAUCAGCGUCAGUACAACAAAUGUAAAUCAUUUACAACUUUCAACAACGGAUCUCUUGGUUCUGGCAUCGAUGAAGAACGCAGCGAAAUGCGAUACGUAGUGUGAAUUGCAGAAUUCAGUGAAUCAUCGAAUCUUUGAACGCACAUUGCGCCCUUUGGUAUUCCAAAGGGCAUGCCUGUUCGAGCGUCAUUUGUACCCUCAAGCUUUGCUUGGUGUUGGGCGUUUUUUGUCUUUGGUUUUGUCCAAAGACUCGCCUUAAAACGAUUGGCAGCCGGCCUACUGGUUUCGCAGCGCAGCACAUUUUUGCGCUUGCAAUCAGCAAAAGAGGACGGCACUCCAUCAAGACUCUAUAUCACUUUUGACCUCGGAUCAGGUAGGGAUACCCGCUGAACUUAAGCAUAUCAAUAAGCGGAGGA